UAUUACGGAAGCAGUUAGAGAUAAUUGCUUACAUCUUCGGAUGACUGUAAUACAGGUGGUGCAUGGUUGUCGUCAGCUCGUGUCGUGAGAUGUUGGGUUAAGUCCCAUAACGAGCGCAACCCCUAUUGCUAGUUACCAUCAUUAAGUUGGGGACUCUAGUAAUACUGCCGGUGACAAACCGGAGGAAGGUGGGGAUGACGUCAAAUCAUCAUGCCCUUUAUGACUUGGGCUACACACGUGCUACAAUGGCAGGUACACAGGGUUGCAAGACUGCAAAGUUAAGCGAAACUCAAAAAGCCUGUCCCAGUUCGGAUUGCACUCUGCAACUCGAGUGCAUGAAGUUGGAGUUGCUAGUAAUCGUGGAUCAGAAUGCCGCGGUGAAUGCGUUCCCGGGCCUUGUACACACCG
Molecule: ribosomal RNA, 408 nt
Filed under: uncultured Anaerococcus sp.
Lineage: Bacteria; Bacillati; Bacillota; Tissierellia; Tissierellales; Peptoniphilaceae
Description: bacterial SSU rRNA
Rfam family: Bacterial small subunit ribosomal RNA
Source: RNAcentral